This 647-nucleotide unclassified non-coding RNA is filed under the name Hevea brasiliensis (rubber tree). The record is from RNAcentral. Lineage: Eukaryota; Viridiplantae; Streptophyta; Magnoliopsida; Malpighiales; Euphorbiaceae.
GGGACAGUAAAGCUAAUUUUCCAACCUGGGGAAGAGGGACGUGGUGGGGCUUACUAUAUGGUAAAAGAAGGAGCUGUGGAGAAGGUGGAAGGCAUAUUCGGAUUACAUGUCGCACAAGAUAUGUCAGUAGGGGCAAUUGGUUCAAGGCCUGGUCCAUUUACGGCUUGUAGUGGUAGGUUUUUGGCUACAAUCCAAGGAAUUGGUGCUCAUGGAGCAGCGCAUCCAGUUCUUGCUAUGUCAUCGGCUAUCAUCUCUCUUCAACACAUAAUUUCUCGAGAAACUGAUCCUCUUGAUUCCAAGGUGAUCAGUGUAGGGUUGGUGAAGGGAGGGCAAGCAGUAAAUGUGAUCCCCGAAACCGUAACAUUUGGAGGUACUUUCCGAAGCGUCACUUUGGAAGGUCUUUACAAACUUAAGCAAAGAAUUCAAGAGGUAAUAGAGUUUCAAGUAGCUGUUCAUGAGUGUAAUGCGACUGUUGACUUCAUGGAAGAAAAGGCAAGGUUCUACCCACCUACUAUCAAUGACCAAGCAUUAUACAACCAUGUAAACAAGGUUGGACAACAUUUGCUUGGAGCCUCAUCAAAUGUGCUUUAUCUUCCUAACUCCAUGGGAGCAGAGGACUUCAGCUUCUACUCGCAACACAUUCCUGC